Molecule: ribosomal RNA, 454 nt
Filed under: uncultured bacterium
Lineage: Bacteria
Description: partial 16S ribosomal RNA
Rfam family: Bacterial small subunit ribosomal RNA
Source: RNAcentral
GAUGAACGCUGACAGAAUGCUUAACACAUGCAAGUCUACUUGAACUUCGGUUUGGGUGGCGGACGGGUGAGUAACGCGUAAAGAACUUGCCUCACAGAUAGGGACAACAUUUGGAAACGAAUGCUAAUACCUGAUAUUAUGAUUUUAGGGCAUCCUAGAAUUAUGAAAGCUAUAUGCACUGUGAGAGAGCUUUGCGUCCCAUUAGCUUGUUGGAGAGGUAACGGCUCACCAAGGCGAUGAUGGGUAGCCGGCCUGAGAGGGUGAUCGGCCACAAGGGGACUGAGACACGGCCCUUACUCCUACGGGAGGCAGCAGUGGGGAAUAUUGGACAAUGGACCAAGAGUCUGAUCCAGCAAUUCUGUGUGCACGAUGAAGUUUUUCGGAAUGUAAAGUGCUUUCAGUUGGGAAGAAAAAAAUGACGGUACCAACAGAAGAAGUGACGGCUAAAUACGUG